Molecule: ribosomal RNA, 1028 nt
Filed under: Gammaproteobacteria bacterium
Lineage: Bacteria; Pseudomonadati; Pseudomonadota; Gammaproteobacteria
Description: partial 23S ribosomal RNA
Rfam family: Bacterial large subunit ribosomal RNA
Source: RNAcentral
GAUCAAGUAAAGGAAGAGCACAAGGCGGAUGCCUUGGCAGCAUAAGGCGAUGAAGGACGUAAUAACCUGCGAUAAGCCUCGGGGAGCUGGUAAAUAAGCUUCGAUCCGAGGAUUUCCGAAUGGGAAAACCCAAUACACAUAAGUGUAUUAUCUUAUACUGAAUACAUAGGUAUAAGAGGCAAACCUAGGGAACUGAAACAUCUAAGUACCUAGAGGAAAAGAAAUCAACAGAGAUUCCGGUAGUAGCGGCGAGCGAAACCGGACCAGCCCUUAAGCUUAUUUUAGUCCAGCAAAAUAUUCUGGAAAGUUUAGCCAUAGCAGGUGAUAGCCCUGUAUGCGAAAGACUAAUUUAAGUGAAAUCGAGUAGGUCGGGACACGAGAAAUCUUGACUGAACAUGGGGGGACCAUCCUCCAAGGCUAAAUACUCUAUGCUGACCGAUAGUGAACCAGUACCGUGAGGGAAAGGCGAAAAGAACCCCGGCGAGGGGAGUGAAAUAGAACCUGAAACCUUGUGCUUACAAGCAGUCGGAGCAGACUUGUUCUGUGACGGCGUACCUUUUGUAUAAUGGGUCAACGACUUAAUUUCAGUAGCAAGCUUAACCAUAUAGGGUAGGCGUAGGGAAACCGAGUCUUAAUAGGGCGCUCAGUUGCUGGAAUUAGACCCGAAACCGGGUGAUCUAUCCAUGGCCAGUGUGAAGGUCGAGUAACAUCGACUGGAGGCGCGAACCCACUUAUGUUGAAAAAUGAGGGGAUGAGCUGUGGAUAGGAGUGAAAGGCUAAUCAAACCCGGAGAUAGCUGGUUCUCUUCGAAAACUAUUUAGGUAGUGCCUCGUGUAUUACUGUAGGGGGUAGAGCACUGUUUCGGCUAGGGGGUCAUCCCGACUUACCAAACCGAUGCAAACUCCGAAUACCUACAAGUAUGAGCACGGGAGACAGACUGCGGGUGCUAACGUCCGUAGUCGAGAGGGAAACAACCCAGACUGUCAGCUAAGGUCCCAAAUUAUGAUUAAGUGGGAAACAAUGUGGGA